RNAcentral lists this small nuclear RNA (305 nucleotides) under Cebus imitator (Panamanian white-faced capuchin). Its description in RNAcentral is "7SK RNA (ENSCCAG00000005401.1)". It matches the Rfam family "7SK RNA". From Rfam's summary of the family: 7SK was discovered as an abundant small nuclear RNA in the mid-70s but a possible function has only recently been suggested. Two independent studies have found that 7SK RNA binds the CDK9/cyclin T complex (known as elongation factor P-TEFb). Lineage: Eukaryota; Metazoa; Chordata; Mammalia; Primates; Cebidae. The record is from RNAcentral.
GGAGGGGAGGGUGAUCUGGCUGCAACAUCUGCCACCCCACUGAUCGCUAGGGUUGAUGUGUCUGAUCGGGCUGGUUAGGUGGGUGUCCCCAUCCUCCCUCAUCGCUCCAUGUGUGCCCCUCCAGACGCUGCGGACGACCUUCCCCAUCAGAGGAGGGCUGUUCUUUCGUCAAGGGUAUUUGAGUAGCUGUACUCCUCUGCUAGAACCUCCAAACAAGCUCUCUCAAAGUAAUUAUUUCAAAGGAGGGAUUGAGAGUUUCAUCCUGUAUGACAAAGUUAAUUUUUCCUAAAAAAAUUUAAUAAUAA